Molecule: ribosomal RNA, 468 nt
Filed under: uncultured bacterium
Lineage: Bacteria
Description: partial 16S ribosomal RNA
Rfam family: Bacterial small subunit ribosomal RNA
Source: RNAcentral
GACGAACGCUGGCGGCGUGCUUAACACAUGCAAGUCGAACGGAAAGGCCCUGCUUUUGUGGGGUGCUCGAGUGGCGAACGGGUGAGUAACACGUGAGUAACCUGCCCUUGACUUUGGGAUAACUUCAGGAAACUGGGGCUAAUACCGGAUAGGAGCUCCUGCUGCAUGGGGGGGGUUGGAAAGUUUCGGCGGUUGGGGAUGGACUCGCGGCUUAUCAGCUUGUUGGUGGGGUAGUGGCUUACCAAGGCUUUGACGGGUAGCCGGCCUGGGAGGGUGACCGGCCACAUUGGGACUGAGGUACGGCCCAGACUCCUACGGGAGGCAGCAGUGGGGAAUAUUGCACAAUGGGCGGAAGCCUGAUGCAGCAACGCCGCGUGCGGGAUGACGGCCUUCGGGUUGUAAACCGCUUUCGCCUGUGACGAAGCGUGAGUGACGGUAAUGGGUAAAGAAGCACCGGCUAACUACGUG